This 754-nucleotide ribosomal RNA is filed under the name uncultured Caloramator sp. Its description in RNAcentral is "bacterial SSU rRNA". It matches the Rfam family "Bacterial small subunit ribosomal RNA", at positions 12 to 774 of the family's 1533-position model. The record is from RNAcentral. Lineage: Bacteria; Bacillati; Bacillota; Clostridia; Eubacteriales; Clostridiaceae.
UUUGAUCCUGGCUCAGGACGAACGCUGGCGGCGUGCCUAACACAUGCAAGUCGAGCGGAGAUGCCAAGGAGCAAUCCAAGGUGUCUUAGCGGCGGACGGGUGAGUAACACGUGGGUAACCUACCCCAAGGAGGGGGAUAACAGGUCGAAAGGCCUGCUAAUACCGCAUAAAGCUUGUGUAUCGCAUGAUGCAUAAGCCAAAGGAGGAAUCCGCCUUGGGAUGGGCCCGCGGCCCAUUAGCUAGUUGGUGAGGUAACGGCUCACCAAGGCGACGAUGGGUAGCCGGCCUGAGAGGGUGGUCGGCCACACUGGGACUGAGACACGGCCCAGACUCCUACGGGAGGCAGCAGUGGGGAAUAUUGCGCAAUGGGGGAAACCCUGACGCAGCGACGCCGCGUGAGCGAAGAAGGCCUUCGGGUUGUAAAGCUCUGUCUUCCCUGACGAAGUAAGUGACGGUAAGGGAGGAGGAAGCCACGGCUAACUACGUGCCAGCAGCCGCGGUAAUACGUAGGUGGCGAGCGUUGUCCGGAAUUACUGGGCGUAAAGGGUGCGUAGGCGGCUCCUUAAGUGAGGUGUGAAAUCCCUGGGCUCAACCCAGGAACUGCACUUCAAACUGGGGAGCUAGAGUGCAGGAGAGGAAAGCGGAAUUCCCGGUGUAGCGGUGAAAUGCGUAGAGAUCGGGAGGAACACCAGUGGCGAAGGCGGCUUUCUGGACUGUAACUGACGCUGAGGCACGAAAGCGUGGGGAGCAAACA